This is a long non-coding RNA of Cyprinodon tularosa, 340 nucleotides long. RefSeq lists it as uncharacterized. The transcript is spliced from 3 exons. The record is from RefSeq and is a predicted model, not a curated record. NCBI's taxonomy places the organism in Eukaryota, Metazoa, Chordata, Actinopteri, Cyprinodontiformes, Cyprinodontidae.
GCUGCUGGAAGGAUGCCGAGGCUGAGUGUGUGGAGUGGCUUUCGUUAUCAACUCUGAGACGUUAGGCUUGGAUUCCUCUCAUGGACACUGUUGCUCCCUCAUCGUCGGCUGGCGUUCAGCUCAUCAUCACUCGGGGUCCUGGGAGCAGCCGUGGCUGUAGAGGGGGGACAUCGCUCUCCCAGAUUCCUCCCUCCACUCCGGGAUUGGAAUCAACUUUGAAUCAGAGAACCUGCUUUGAUGAUGCCAAGCCGAUUGCUGUUAACCUUUUUCUGAAAAAAGAAAGCCUGCUGAAAAUAGUCCUGGUCUGUCUCAAGUUUCUGAGGUUAUUAAAUAUUUAUAA